Molecule: ribosomal RNA, 440 nt
Filed under: uncultured bacterium
Lineage: Bacteria
Description: partial 16S ribosomal RNA
Rfam family: Bacterial small subunit ribosomal RNA
Source: RNAcentral
CCUACGGGAGGCAGCAGUGGGGAAUAUUGGACAAUGGACGCAACCCUGAUCCAGCGACGCCGCGUGAAUGAAGAAGUAUCUCGGUACGUAAAGCUCUAUCAGCAGGAGAGAAAAUGACGGUACGUGACUCAGAAGCCACGGCUAACUACGUGCCAGCAGCCGCGGUACUACGUAGGCGGCAGGCGUUAUCCGGAUUAACUGGGUGUAAAGGGGGCGUAGACGGCUGGGCAAGUCUGAGGUGAAAUGCCGGGGCCCAACCCCGGAACUGCUCUGGAAACUGUGAAGCUGGAGUGCAGUAGAGGUAAGCGGAAUUCCUGGUGUAGCGGUGAAAUGCGUAGAGAUCAGGAGGAACACCGGCGGCGAAGGCGGCUUACUGGACUGUAACUGACGUUGAGGCACGAAGGCGUGGGGAGCAAACAGGAUUAGAUACCCUAGUAGUC